RNAcentral lists this ribosomal RNA (492 nucleotides) under uncultured bacterium. Its description in RNAcentral is "partial 16S ribosomal RNA". It matches the Rfam family "Bacterial small subunit ribosomal RNA", at positions 30 to 507 of the family's 1533-position model. The record is from RNAcentral.
AUUGAACGCUGGCGGCAUGCUUUACACAUGCAAGUCGAACGGUAACAGGCCUUCGGGUGCUGACGAGUGGCGAACGGGUGAGUAAUGCAUCGGAACGUGCCCAGAGGUGGGGGAUAACGCAGCGAAAGCUGUGCUAAUACCGCAUGUGAUCUGAGGAUGAAAGCGGGGGACCAGGCAGCAAUGUUUGGCCUCGCGCCUUUGGAGCGGCCGAUGCCAGAUUAGUUAGUUGGUGGGGUAAAGGCCUACCAAGCCGACGAUCUGUAGCUGGUCUGAGAGGACGACAAGCCACACUGGGACUGAGACACGGCCCAUACUCCUACGGGAGGCAGCAGUGGGGAAUUUUGGACAAUGGGGGCAAGCCUGAUCCAGCAAUGCCGCGUGCGGGAAGAAGGCCUUCGGGUUGUAAACCGCUUUUGUACGGAACGAAAAGGCUCUGGCUAAUACCUGGGGCUGAUGACGGUACCGUAAGAAUAAGCACCGGCUAACUACGUG